This 276-nucleotide ribosomal RNA is filed under the name Klebsiella michiganensis. Its description in RNAcentral is "partial 16S ribosomal RNA". It matches the Rfam family "Bacterial small subunit ribosomal RNA", at positions 694 to 969 of the family's 1533-position model. The record is from RNAcentral. Lineage: Bacteria; Pseudomonadati; Pseudomonadota; Gammaproteobacteria; Enterobacterales; Enterobacteriaceae.
AGAUCUGGAGGAAUACCGGUGGCGAAGGCGGCCCCCUGGACAAAGACUGACGCUCAGGUGCGAAAGCGUGGGGAGCAAACAGGAUUAGAUACCCUGGUAGUCCACGCUGUAAACGAUGUCGACUUGGAGGUUGUUCCCUUGAGGAGUGGCUUCCGGAGCUAACGCGUUAAGUCGACCGCCUGGGGAGUACGGCCGCAAGGUUAAAACUCAAAUGAAUUGACGGGGGCCCGCACAAGCGGUGGAGCAUGUGGUUUAAUUCGAUGCAACGCGAAGAAC